Molecule: long non-coding RNA, 1588 nt
Filed under: Phoenix dactylifera (date palm)
Lineage: Eukaryota; Viridiplantae; Streptophyta; Magnoliopsida; Arecales; Arecaceae
Description: long non-coding RNA (PDAC_LNC000966)
Source: RNAcentral
CCACUUCUAAGCUUGUAUUGCAAGAUCUAAGAUCAACAGUGGAGUCAGCAAUAUGAAGAACUGUUUCACCAGGCCUGUGAAAAUCCAAUGGAUGCAAGUGCUCCAAGGGCCGGAAGGUAAGCUUCGAACCCCUAGCAGGGCAAUGUAACUGAUAAUAUUCACAAAUUAUCUGCAAAGAUCCAUGACUGUUCGCCUGAAUUCAAAUAAGCAUAUAAAGUGAGAGUUAGAGUAGUCAAGUGGGCCCAGUUCAGAAACCAGAAAACAUGAAAUAUUGGUUUUAGUCACAAAAAUGCAAUUAUCAAACCUUGGCCCAUUCAAGGAUAUCACCAUGACCACUGGAAUCUUCCAGACCAGAUGAAGAUGGCUCUUCGAGCUCUACUUCAUCCAUAUCACUCCUAAAAUUUCUGUCUUCACUUGGAGAACCUUGGAAACUGUAGAUGCUAAGAAUUAACAUUACUAACUCGUCAAACAGAAAUUCUUCUUUAAACUAGGCUGCCAAAACAGCUGCAAAAGUGCUAAUGUAAGACUAAACCCUGAGAUUAUCACUAACUCAAACAAUAAUCAUCUCCUGUCACUCUUAUUUCAACAGAAAGCUCUGGUCAUAGAAACAUUACAUACCAUAGAUAAUGUAGAUUUACAGGAGGAACACUCAGAAUCCACCUGUUGUGGCCUUAGCGUUAUUCACAUGUCUCACUAUUAUUUCUAAUGUGAAACUUUAUGGGAUAAAAGUUUCAUAUUAUAUUUCUGUACCAAAAAAAAGUUUCAUAUUAUAAUUCAACCAUGAAAAUGUACAUUGAAGUCAGCAAAAUUUGAAGGAACCUCAGGAUACUUGUCAUAGAGCCCUUAUCUUGUUAUGACAUAAUUUAUUUAUUAUUAUAACAUAGAAGAAAACCUAUGAAAGAUCUUAUACAUAAUCCAGUAUGAAGCUUUAGUCAUGUUUUUAAUUAACAUGUUAUGCCAUCAUAAACCAUUAUUGACCAUUAUUAUUGUUACAGCAGCUGUUAUUUGCCUCAAAAAUUAGCAUCUUAAAUUUUUUAUAUUAAAAUAAUCACUGUCAUAACAGCUGUCAUAUUGAUAUUAUAAUGAAAAAGGGGCAAUAGCAAAAAAACAGUUUUCAUUGGAUGAAAAAUUUAUUUUUUGAAAUGUAUAAUCACUUUUGGCGGGAAAUUAUUUAAGUGAAAGCAGGAUGUAAGAAUGUGCACUCAUAAAUCCAUGAUAAUCAAUCAGACAAUAACUAUUUGUUUCUCCAAAAGUGCCCCGGCAAACAUUGUGAUUAUAUUUUCAAGCCUCAGACAUCCACAUAUGCAUGCAACCGUCCAUACAGACAAAGCAAUUGCCUCCUCCUCAGCUAGCAGUGCACUGUGUGCCUCAGCCACUUCUAAGCUUGUAUUGCAAGAUCUAAGAUCAACGGUGGAGUCAGCUAUAUGAAGAACUGUUUCACCAGGCCUGUGAAAAUCCAAAGGAUGCAAGUGCUCCAAGGGCCGGAAGGUAAGCUUCGAACCCCUAGCAGGGCAAUGUAACUGAUAAUAUUCACAAAUUAUCUGCAAAGAUCCAUGACUGUUCGCCUUGGCCCAUUCAAGGAUAUCAC